RNAcentral lists this ribosomal RNA (446 nucleotides) under uncultured bacterium. Its description in RNAcentral is "bacterial SSU rRNA". It matches the Rfam family "Bacterial small subunit ribosomal RNA", at positions 329 to 792 of the family's 1533-position model. The record is from RNAcentral.
UGCCAGACUCCUACGGGAGGCAGCAGUGGGGGAUAUUGCACAAUGGGGGCAACCCUGAUGCAGCGACGCCGCGUGAGUGAAGAAGUACUUCGUUAUGUAAAGCUCUAUCAGCAGGGAAGAAAAUGACGGUACCUGAGUAAGAAGCCCCGGCUAACUACGUGCCAGCAGCCGCGGUAAUACGUAGGGGGCAAGCGUUAUCCGGAUUUACUGGGUGUAAAGGGAGCGUAGACGGCAGUGCAAGUCUGGAGUGAAAGGCGGGGGCUCAACCCCCGGACUGCUCUGGAAACUGUACGGCUGGAGUGCAGGAGAGGUAAGUGGAAUUCCUAGUGUAGCGGUGAAAUGCGUAGAUAUUAGGAGGAACACCAGUGGCGAAGGCGGCUUACUGGACUGUAACUGACGUUGGGGCUCGAAAGCGUGGGGAGCAAACAGGAUUAGAUACCCGAGUA